UUGGUAGGGUAAGGGCCUACCAAGCCAAUGAUCGGUAGCCGGCCUGAGAGGGUGAACGGCCACAUUGGACAUGAGAGACGGUCCAAACUCCUACGGGAGGCAGCAGUGGGGAAUAUUGGGCAAUGGGCGGAAGCCUGACCCAGCAACGCCGCGUGAGGGAAGAAGGUUUUCGGAUUGUAAACCUCUGUUCUUGGGGAAGAGGAGGAGACGGUACCCAAGGAGGAAGCCCCGUCUAAUUACGUGCCAGCAGCCGCGGUAAUAAGUAGGGGGCGAGCGUUGUCCGGAAUGAUUGGGCGUAAAGGGCGCGCAGGCGGCCUGUCAAGUCAGUAGUGGAAGUCCAUUUUUCAAGGAUGGAAGUGCUAUAGAAAAUGAUGGGCUUGAGUGCAGGAGAGGUUAUCGGAAUUCCCGGUGUAGCGGUGAAAUGCGUAGAGAUCGGGAGGAACACCAGUGGCGAAGGCGGGUAACUGGACUGCAACUGACGCUGAGGCGCGAAAGUGUGGGGAGCAAACAGGAUUAGAUACCCUGGUAGUCCACACUGUAAACGAUGAAUGCUAGGUGUAGGGGGUAUCGACCCCUUCUGUGCCGAAGUAAACAC
RNAcentral lists this ribosomal RNA (595 nucleotides) under uncultured bacterium. Its description in RNAcentral is "bacterial SSU rRNA". It matches the Rfam family "Bacterial small subunit ribosomal RNA", at positions 249 to 858 of the family's 1533-position model. The record is from RNAcentral.